AGCAUGUAACCGGAUUAUGAACUGCAGCAACGCACAAUAAGUCACUUGAGAUUACUGGACCCAAAGGAAGAACUGAAGCACACAAAUAAUUUAACAGACUAUGAAAAUCAUUAAGUUGAUGGGACAACAAUUGCACAGCCAAUAGAGGAAAUGUUGACAGCCCUUCGUUAUGUCCCAAAACUGAUUAAUUCAGCAAACAAAUUCGGCCUUGAUCUCCCUGCACCAUCGGCAUCAUUUUCAGGAGACAUUGAAAUGAGGAGGUACUUGCCCAGUACACUCUGACUGACAAGUCUGGGAAAAGGGGCCCCUAAACGUCAGUUGACCAAAGUGCAGGCCAUAACUGGUAUUUGAUGGUGGGUGAUGCAGUGCAGUCCAAGAAAUAAGAAAAUGUUCUGUUAUUCUUCUGCGUUGGAAGCAUUUCCAUUGUUUCAGCAAACACGGUGGACUCGUUUAGUGCUUAUAUUA
Molecule: long non-coding RNA, 465 nt
Organism: Alosa sapidissima (American shad)
Lineage: Eukaryota; Metazoa; Chordata; Actinopteri; Clupeiformes; Clupeidae
Exons: 4
Source: RefSeq, a predicted model, not a curated record